UACGUUUUAGUAUAUAUUGUACGGGGGUUUUUGAUGCUCCAGGGGAUAGUUAGAGGCUAUUAAACGUAA
This 69-nucleotide transfer RNA is filed under the name Lachnaia tristigma. RNAcentral's name for it is "tRNA-Gln". Lineage: Eukaryota; Metazoa; Arthropoda; Insecta; Coleoptera; Chrysomelidae. The record is from RNAcentral.